GACAGAGGGUGCAAACGUUGCUCGGAAUCACUGGGCGUAAAGGGCUCGUAGGCGGCCAACUAAGUCGGAUGUGAAAUCCCCAGGCUUAACCUGGGAACUGCAUCCGAUACUGGAUGGCUUGAAUCCGGGAGAGGGAUGCAGAAUUCCAGGUGUAGCGGUGAAAUGCGUAGAUAUCUGGAGGAAUACCGGUGGCGAAGGCGGCAUCCUGGACCGGCAUUGACGCUGAUGAGCGAAAGCUAGGGGAGCAAACGGG
Molecule: ribosomal RNA, 253 nt
Filed under: uncultured bacterium
Lineage: Bacteria
Description: partial 16S ribosomal RNA
Rfam family: Bacterial small subunit ribosomal RNA
Source: RNAcentral